GCCCGGGUGGCGGAACUGGUAGACGCAAGGGACUUAAAAUCCCUCGGUCCUCGCGACUGUACGAGUUCGACUCUCGUCCCGGGCACCA
RNAcentral lists this transfer RNA (88 nucleotides) under Desulfobacterales bacterium CG2_30_60_27. RNAcentral's name for it is "tRNA-Leu". It matches the Rfam family "tRNA". From Rfam's summary of the family: Transfer RNA (tRNA) molecules are approximately 80 nucleotides in length. Their secondary structure includes four short double-helical elements and three loops (D, anti-codon, and T loops). Further hydrogen bonds mediate the characteristic L-shaped molecular structure. tRNAs have two regions of fundamental functional importance: the anti-codon, which is responsible for specific mRNA codon recognition, and the 3' end, to which the tRNAs corresponding amino acid is attached (by aminoacyl-tRNA synthetases). tRNAs cope with the degeneracy of the genetic code in two manners: having more than one tRNA (with a specific anti-codon) for a particular amino acid; and 'wobble' base-pairing, i.e. permitting non-standard base-pairing at the 3rd anti-codon position. Lineage: Bacteria; Pseudomonadati; Thermodesulfobacteriota; Desulfobacteria; Desulfobacterales. The record is from RNAcentral.